This 252-nucleotide ribosomal RNA is filed under the name uncultured bacterium. Its description in RNAcentral is "partial 16S ribosomal RNA". It matches the Rfam family "Bacterial small subunit ribosomal RNA", at positions 524 to 776 of the family's 1533-position model. The record is from RNAcentral.
GACGAACCGUGCGAACGUUGUUCGGAUUCACUGGGCUUAAAGGGCGCGUAGGCGGGCGGUCAAGUCGGGGGUGAAAUCUUUCAGCUUAACUGGAAAAGUGCCUCCGAUACUGAUCGCCUCGAGGGAGGUAGGGGCAUGUGGAACUUCCGGUGGAGCGGUGAAAUGCGUAGAUAUCGGAAGGAACGCCGGUGGCGAAAGCGACGUGCUGGACCUCUCUGACGCUGAGGCGCGAAAGCUAGGGGAGCAAACGGG